RNAcentral lists this ribosomal RNA (447 nucleotides) under uncultured bacterium. RNAcentral describes it as "partial 16S ribosomal RNA". It matches the Rfam family "Bacterial small subunit ribosomal RNA", at positions 29 to 523 of the family's 1533-position model. The record is from RNAcentral.
AACGAACGCUGGCGGCAGGCUUAACACAUGCAAGUCGAGCGCGUAGCAAUACGAGCGGCAGACGGGUGAGUAACACGUGGGAAUCUACCCUACCCUACGGAAUAGCUCCGGGAAACUGGAAUUAAUACCGUAUACGCCCUUAGGGGGAAAGAUUUAUCGGGGAAGGAUGAGCCCGCGUUGGAUUAGCUAGUUGGUGGGGUAAAGGCCUACCAAGGCGACGAUCCAUAGCUGGUCUGAGAGGAUGAUCAGCCACAUUGGGACUGAGACACGGCCCAAACUCCUACGGGAGGCAGCAGUGGGGAAUAUUGGACAAUGGGCGCAAGCCUGAUCCAGCCAUGCCGCGUGAGUGAUGAAGGCCUUAGGGUUGUAAAGCUCUUUCACCGGAGAAGAUAAUGACGGUAUCCGGAGAAGAAGCCCCGGCUAACUUCGUGCCAGCCGCCGCCGUAA